This 799-nucleotide ribosomal RNA is filed under the name uncultured bacterium. RNAcentral's name for it is "bacterial SSU rRNA". It matches the Rfam family "Bacterial small subunit ribosomal RNA", at positions 51 to 858 of the family's 1533-position model. The record is from RNAcentral.
ACACAUGCAAGUCGAGCGGAGACAGUGAGUAGCUUGCUAUGAGCUGUUUUAGCGGCGGACGGGUGAGUAACGCGUGAGCAACCUUUCCCAGACAGGGGAAUAACACACCGAAAGGUGUACUAAUACCGCAUAAGACCACGGGAUCACAUGGUUCUGGGGUAAAAGAUUUAUCGGUUUGGGGUGGGCUCGCGUCCGAUUAGGUAGUUGGUGAGGUAACGGCCCACCAAGCCGACGAUCGGUAGCCGACCUGAGAGGGUGAUCGGCCACAUUGGGACUGAGACACGGCCCAAACUCCUACGGGAGGCAGCAGUGGGGAAUAUUGGGCAAUGGGGGGAACCCUGACCCAGCAACGCCGCGUGGAGGAAGAAGGUUUUCGGAUCGUAAACUCCUGUCCUUGGAGACGAGUAGAAGACGGUAUCCAAGGAGGAAGCCCCGGCUAACUACGUGCCAGCAGCCGCGGUAAUACGUAGGGGGCAAGCGUUGUCCGGAAUAAUUGGGCGUAAAGGGCGCGUAGGCGGCUCGGUAAGUCUGGAGUGAAAGUCCUGCUUUUAAGGUGGGAAUUGCUUUGGAUACUGUCGGGCUUGAGUGCAGGAGAGGUUAGUGGAAUUCCCAGUGUAGCGGUGAAAUGCGUAGAGAUUGGGAGGAACACCAGUGGCGAAGGUGACUAACUGGACUGUAACUGACGCUGAGGCGCGAAAGUGUGGGGAGCAAACAGGAUUAGAUACCCUGGUAGUCCACACUGUAAACGAUGAAUGCUAGGUGUAGGGGGUAUCGACCCCUUCUGUGCCGCAGUCAACAC